AACUUCCUUUUAUAUGGGACGAAAAAAAGGUCUUUCUAGACCCCUUGACGGUACCAUAUGAAUAAGCACCGGCUAACUCCGUGCCAGCAGCCGCGGUAAUACGGAGGGUGCAAGCGUUAUCCGGAUUCACUGGGUUUAAAGGGUGCGUAGGCGGGUAGGUAAGUCAGUGGUGAAAUCCUGGAGCUCAACUCCAGAACUGCCAUUGAUACUAUCUGUCUUGAAUAUUGUGGAGGUAAGCGGAAUAUGUCACGUAGCGGUGAAAUGCUUAGAUAUGACAUAGAACACCUAUUGCGAAGGCAGCUUACUACGCAUAUAUUGACGC
This 322-nucleotide ribosomal RNA is filed under the name uncultured Sediminibacterium sp. RNAcentral describes it as "bacterial SSU rRNA". It matches the Rfam family "Bacterial small subunit ribosomal RNA", at positions 427 to 746 of the family's 1533-position model. Lineage: Bacteria; Pseudomonadati; Bacteroidota; Chitinophagia; Chitinophagales; Chitinophagaceae. The record is from RNAcentral.